UGAGACAUAGCAUAAGAUAAUGCAUUUCCCUUACACUGAGAUUAUGCCUAACACAAGGGCUGUCUUAA
This 68-nucleotide transfer RNA is filed under the name Zeacumantus diemenensis. RNAcentral's name for it is "tRNA-Val". The record is from RNAcentral. Lineage: Eukaryota; Metazoa; Mollusca; Gastropoda; Cerithiidae.